RNAcentral lists this ribosomal RNA (254 nucleotides) under uncultured bacterium. Its description in RNAcentral is "partial 16S ribosomal RNA". It matches the Rfam family "Bacterial small subunit ribosomal RNA", at positions 524 to 776 of the family's 1533-position model. The record is from RNAcentral.
UACGUAGGGGCCUAGCGUUGUCCGGAUUUAUUGGGCGUAAAGAGCUCGUAGGCGGUUCGGUAAGUCAGGUGUGAAAUCUCCACGCUCAACGUGGAGGCGCCACCUGAAACUGCCGUGACUCGAGUCCGGUAGGGGAGUGUGGAAUUCCUGGUGUAGCGGUGAAAUGCGCAGAUAUCAGGAAGAACACCCGUGGCGAAGGCGGCUCUCUGGUACGUGACUGACGCUGAGACGCGAAAGCGUGGGGAGCGAACAGG